Pipistrellus kuhlii (Kuhl's pipistrelle) is the source of this 104-nucleotide long non-coding RNA. RefSeq lists it as uncharacterized. The record is from RefSeq and is a predicted model, not a curated record. NCBI's taxonomy places the organism in Eukaryota, Metazoa, Chordata, Mammalia, Chiroptera, Vespertilionidae. The transcript is spliced from 3 exons.
UCAGGUCACUAGACACCUCAGAGUUCACACUGGAGAGAAGCCAUAUGAGCAUAGAGAAUGUGGGAAGUCUUUUAGACAAAACUCCAGCCCUCCUAAGCAACUGA